This 767-nucleotide ribosomal RNA is filed under the name Lepraria friabilis. RNAcentral describes it as "SSU rRNA". It matches the Rfam family "Bacterial small subunit ribosomal RNA", at positions 368 to 1182 of the family's 1533-position model. Lineage: Eukaryota; Fungi; Ascomycota; Lecanoromycetes; Lecanorales; Stereocaulaceae. The record is from RNAcentral.
UGUAUAGCNAUAGCUGAUUGCACCAACAAAUGGUUGAUGCAAUAUUGACUCUGUCAAAUAAAWUUCUAGGUAGAAUUAUGAUAAUGACGUUGUCUGCCUAUAUGUCUUGACCAAAUUACGUGCCAGCAGUCGCGGUAAUACGUAGAAGACUAGUGUUAUUCAUCUUUAAUAGGUUUAAAGGGUACCUAGACGGUAAAUCAAGCCUUCACAGGGACUAAUUUACUAGAGUUACUUACGAGGGGGUAUUAAAGUACUGCAGGUGUAGAGAUGAAAUUCUGUCAUACCUCUUUUCAAAAGAAAAAUUAUGGCACAGGUAUAGGUGAAAGCAUCCCCUUAUGUGAUAACUGACGUUGAAGGACGAAGGCUUUGUGUCGCGAACAGGAUUAGAUACCCCAGUAGUCAAAGCAGAAAAUGAUGAAUGUCAUAGAUUAGAUAUAUAGUUUAUUCUAUAAAUGAAAAUGUAAGCAUUCCACCUCAAGAGUAAUUUGGCAACAUUGGAACUGAAAUCAUUAGACCGUUUCUGAAACCAGUAGUGAAGUAUGUUGUUUAAUUUGAUGAUCCGCAAAAAACCUUACCACAAUUUGAAUAUUUGUAUCUAUCUUUUUUUUUYGUAAAAAAAUAAAAAGGUAAUAUAUUUACAAGCGUUGCACGGCUGUCUUCAGUUAAUGUCGCGAGACUUUGGUUAGUUCCAUUUAAUUAACGUAAACCCUUACUUUAUUUUUAUAUAAAGUAGUUCCCCGCUAUAUUGGAUAUGAUAACAGGGACUA